AACGUGCGAAUGUGUUCUGCUGUC
RNAcentral lists this non-coding RNA (24 nucleotides) under Arabidopsis thaliana (thale cress). The record is from RNAcentral. Lineage: Eukaryota; Viridiplantae; Streptophyta; Magnoliopsida; Brassicales; Brassicaceae.